GCCCUCGUGGAUGAAGAGGUACAUCACUCGUUCAGUAUUCAAUAUCUCUAUUUAGUGGAUGCAAAUGGGAAGUGGGGGUUCGAGUCCCCCCGAGGGCA
This is a non-coding RNA of Mycena rebaudengoi, 98 nucleotides long. Lineage: Eukaryota; Fungi; Basidiomycota; Agaricomycetes; Agaricales; Mycenaceae. The record is from the annotation of a GenBank genome assembly.